RNAcentral lists this ribosomal RNA (472 nucleotides) under uncultured bacterium. Its description in RNAcentral is "partial 16S ribosomal RNA". It matches the Rfam family "Bacterial small subunit ribosomal RNA", at positions 30 to 507 of the family's 1533-position model. The record is from RNAcentral.
AGUGAACGCUGGCGGUAGGCCUAACACAUGCAAGUCGAACGGCAGCACAGUAAGAGCUUGCUCUUACGGGUGGCGAGUGGCGGACGGGUGAGGAAUACAUCGGAAUCUACUUUUUCGUGGGGGAUAACGUAGGGAAACUUACGCUAAUACCGCAUACGACCUACGGGUGAAAGCAGGGGAUCUUCGGACCUUGCGCGAUUGAAUGAGCCGGUGUCGGAUUAGCUAGUUGGCGGGGUAAAGGCCCACCAAGGCGACGAUGGGUAGCUGGCCUGAGAGGAGGAACGGCCACAUUGGGACUGAGAUACGGCCCAGACUCCUACGGGAGGCAGCAGUGGGGAAUAGUGCACAAUGGGCGGAAGCCGGAUGCAGCAACGCCGCGUGCGGGAUGACGGCCUUCGGGUUGUAAACAGCUUUCGCCUGUGACGAAGCGUGAGUGACGGUAAUGGGUAAAGAAGCACCGGCUAACUACGUG